CUUUAUUUAACUAGGCAAGUCAGUUAAGAACUAAUUCUUAUUUUCAAUGACGGCCUACCGGGGAACAGUGAGUUAACUGCCUUGUUCAGGGGCAGAACGACAGAUUUUUACCUUGUCAGCUCCGGGAUUCGAUCUUGCAACCUUUCGGUUACUAGUCCAACGCCCUUACCACUAGGCUACCAGCCACCCCGAUAACUUGGCUAUAUACACAGGGUACCAGUCCGUUUCGAAAACUAGGAAUAAAGGCCCUGGCUCGGGUGGCUGAGGGCCUUGAUGAUCUUCUUGGCCUUUCUGUGACACCGGGUGCUGUAGAUGUCCUGGAGGGCAGGCAGUGUGCCCCUGGUGAUACAGCCUGCCAGGAUGCUGUCAAUGGUGCAUCUGUAGAAGUUUGUGAGGGUCCAGAGGUUGAAGAGGCGCUUUUGCGCCUUCUUCACCACACGGUCUGUGUGAAGGGACCAUUUCAGGUUGUCAGGGAUGUGAAUGCCGAGGAACUUGACACUUUUUACCCUCUCCUCUGCAACCCUGUCGAUUUGGAUGGGGUUGUGCUCUCGUCUCCUGUAGUCCACGAUCAGCUCCUUCGUUUUGUUGACAUUGUGGGAGAGGUUAUUUUCCUGGCACCACUUCGCCAGGGCUCUCACCUCCUCACUGUAGGCUUUCUUGUUGUUGUUGGUAACUGUAGUCGGCAAAAAACUUGAUCAAGUCGGAGACGUGUGUGGACACGCAGUCAUGGGUGAAUAGGGAGUGAAGGUGGGGGCUGAGCACGCGCUAGCCUAGGCAGCCGAUAGUGGGUUCUGGAGCUGCACUAUUGUCUAGGAUUUUAUGUGCAUUCCCGGUAAUACACUCGGUUCAUUACUCGGCGUUUCAUUAUCGGUGACAUCUGCUGGUAAGCAAUAAAUAGCAGCAUGUGAAAUAUCAGAGACAUUUUUUCUCCAUUGUUUUCAUCAAAACUUCGUGGUGCAGCUUACAUUAUGCUUCCUUUUUUGCCUUCACUUUUACUAUUUUUUCAAAACUGAAUCUAUGGCAUUAUUUAGGAUACUUAAGGCAGAAGCUUAUACUACAUUAAAUAAAACAAUUAUUUGAACAAAAGUGCAGAAAGUGUGGUUUCACAUAAAACAAAAUUGAAAAUAGUGUGCCUUCAACAGGGAUUCAACCUCAAUCCCUCAUGUCCAAUAGUGCGCAACUGCAGGCCGCAAUUCCUGCAUGUGGACAUACCUGCAUCUGCAGGAAUGCCCCCCACCCUGCGCAACCCAUUGGUUCCUGCAUGAACUGACCCUCUCAAGCACAUCUUCGUCUUACACUUUUGAAUGUGGGUCAAAAGGGAAAUAAAAGUAUUAUCUGAGUUUGGAUAGUGUCCUUCGCUCCUGCCUGCCGAACACCUGCGCUCACCGUUGUUAAUAACAUAACUGCGGGAGAACAGCUAGCUAC
RNAcentral lists this long non-coding RNA (1425 nucleotides) under Salmo salar (Atlantic salmon). Its description in RNAcentral is "lncRNA (ENSSSAG00000118507.1)". The record is from RNAcentral. Lineage: Eukaryota; Metazoa; Chordata; Actinopteri; Salmoniformes; Salmonidae.